This 275-nucleotide ribosomal RNA is filed under the name uncultured Zavarzinella sp. Its description in RNAcentral is "partial 16S ribosomal RNA". It matches the Rfam family "Bacterial small subunit ribosomal RNA", at positions 338 to 628 of the family's 1533-position model. Lineage: Bacteria; Pseudomonadati; Planctomycetota; Planctomycetia; Gemmatales; Gemmataceae. The record is from RNAcentral.
CCUACGGGUGGCUGCAGUCGAGGAUCUUCGUCAAUGGGCGCAAGCCUGAACGAGCGAUGCCGCGUGAGCGAUGAAGGCCUUCGGGUUGUAAAGCUCAAAAGGGAUGAGAAAGGGAAACUUGAUCGAAUCCCAGUAAGCUCGGGCUAAGUUCGUGCCAGCAGCCGCGGUAAGACGAACCGAGCGAACGUUGUUCGGAAUCACUGGGCUUAAAGGGCGCGUAGGCGGGUUCGUAAGUCUGUGGUGAAAUCCUCCGGCUCAACCGGAGAACUGCCUCG